GACGAACGCUGGCGGCGUGCUUAACACAUGCAAGUCGAACGGAAAGGCCUUUUCGGAGGUACUCGAGUGGCGAACGGGUGAGUAACACGUGGGCGAUCUUCCCUGCACUCUGGGAUAAGCCUGGGAAACUGGGUCUAAUACCGGAUAGGACCGCACUUUAGUGUGUGUGGUGGGAAGUUUUUUCGGUGUAGGAUGAGCCCGCGGCCUAUCAGCUUGUUGGUGGGGUAAUGGCCUACCAAGGCGGCGACGGGUAGCCGGACUGAGAGGUUGGUCGGCCACAUUGGGACUGAGAUACGGCCCAGACUCCGACGGGAGGCAGCAGUGGGGAAUAUUGCACAAUGGGCGCAAGCCUGAUGCAGCGACGCCGCGUGGGGGAUGACGGCCUUCGGGUUGUAAACUCCUUUCGCCAGGGACGAAGCGUUUUGUGACGGUACCUGGAGAAGAAGCACCGGCUAACUACGUG
Molecule: ribosomal RNA, 463 nt
Filed under: uncultured bacterium
Lineage: Bacteria
Description: partial 16S ribosomal RNA
Rfam family: Bacterial small subunit ribosomal RNA
Source: RNAcentral